RNAcentral lists this ribosomal RNA (461 nucleotides) under uncultured bacterium. RNAcentral describes it as "partial 16S ribosomal RNA". It matches the Rfam family "Bacterial small subunit ribosomal RNA", at positions 338 to 795 of the family's 1533-position model. The record is from RNAcentral.
CCUACGGGUUGCAGCAGUGAGGAAUAUUGGUCAAUGGGCGAGAGCCUGAACCAGCCAAGUCGCGUGAAGGAUGACGGCCCUACGGGUUGUAAACUUCUUUUGUCAGGGAGCAAUUGGGUCCACGCGUGGGCUUAGCGAGAGUACCUGAAGACAAAGCCUCGGCUAACUCCGUGCCAGCAGCCGCGGUAAUACGUAGGUGGCAAGCGUUAUCCGGAUUUACUGGGUGUAAAGGGCGUGUAGGCGGGGAAGCAAGUCAGAUGUGAAAACCACGGGCUCAACCUGUGGCCUGCAGUUGAAACUGUUGUGCUUGAGUGCUGGAGAGGCAAUCGGAAUUCCGUGUGUAGCGGUGAAAUGCGUAGAUAUACGGAGGAACACCAGUGGCGAAGGCGGAUUGCUGGACAGUAACUGACGCUGAGGCGCGAAAGCGUGGGGAGCAAACAGGAUUAGAUACCCCAGUAGUC